Molecule: ribosomal RNA, 501 nt
Filed under: Pseudomonas mandelii
Lineage: Bacteria; Pseudomonadati; Pseudomonadota; Gammaproteobacteria; Pseudomonadales; Pseudomonadaceae
Description: bacterial SSU rRNA
Rfam family: Bacterial small subunit ribosomal RNA
Source: RNAcentral
GGCUCAGAUUGAACGCUGGCGGCAGGCCUAACACAUGCAAGUCGAGCGGCAGCACGGGUACUUGUACCUGGUGGCGAGCGGCGGACGGGUGAGUAAUGCCUAGGAAUCUGCCUGGUAGUGGGGGAUAACGCUCGGAAACGGACGCUAAUACCGCAUACGUCCUACGGGAGAAAGCAGGGGACCUUCGGGCCUUGCGCUAUCAGAUGAGCCUAGGUCGGAUUAGCUAGUUGGUGAGGUAAUGGCUCACCAAGGCGACGAUCCGUAACUGGUCUGAGAGGAUGAUCAGUCACACUGGAACUGAGACACGGUCCAGACUCCUACGGGAGGCAGCAGUGGGGAAUAUUGGACAAUGGGCGAAAGCCUGAUCCAGCCAUGCCGCGUGUGUGAAGAAGGUCUUCGGAUUGUAAAGCACUUUAAGUUGGGAGGAAGGGCAGUUACCUAAUACGUAUCUGUUUUGACGUUACCGACAGAAUAAGCACCGGCUAACUCUGUGCCAGCAGC